RNAcentral lists this ribosomal RNA (642 nucleotides) under Escherichia coli. RNAcentral describes it as "partial 23S ribosomal RNA". It matches the Rfam family "Bacterial large subunit ribosomal RNA", at positions 2190 to 2827 of the family's 2925-position model. Lineage: Bacteria; Pseudomonadati; Pseudomonadota; Gammaproteobacteria; Enterobacterales; Enterobacteriaceae. The record is from RNAcentral.
CCUUGAAAUACCACCCUUUAAUGUUUGAUGUUCUAACGUUGGCCCGUAAUCCGGGUUGCGGACAGUGUCUGGUGGGUAGUUUGACUGGGGCGGUCUCCUCCUAAAGAGUAACGGAGGAGCACGAAGGUUGGCUAAUCCUGGUCGGACAUCAGGAGGUUAGUGCAAUGGCAUAAGCCAGCUUGACUGCGAGCGUGACGGCGCGAGCAGGUGCGAAAGCAGGUCAUAGUGAUCCGGUGGUUCUGAAUGGAAGGGCCAUCGCUCAACGGAUAAAAGGUACUCCGGGGAUAACAGGCUGAUACCGCCCAAGAGUUCAUAUCGACGGCGGUGUUUGGCACCUCGAUGUCGGCUCAUCACAUCCUGGGGCUGAAGUAGGUCCCAAGGGUAUGGCUGUUCGCCAUUUAAAGUGGUACGCGAGCUGGGUUUAGAACGUCGUGAGACAGUUCGGUCCCUAUCUGCCGUGGGCGCUGGAGAACUGAGGGGGGCUGCUCCUAGUACGAGAGGACCGGAGUGGACGCAUCACUGGUGUUCGGGUUGUCAUGCCAAUGGCACUGCCCGGUAGCUAAAUGCGGAAGAGAUAAGUGCUGAAAGCAUCUAAGCACGAAACUUGCCCCGAGAUGAGUUCUCCCUGACUCCUUGAGGGUC